AGUGAGGACAGGGAUUGAUCUGGCAUCCUCAUGGGUACUAGUCGGGUUCGUUUCUGCUGGGCCACGACGGGAGCUCCUGUAAACAAGAAACUCUUGGAAGAGAAGUCUGCUGCUUCUCUGACUUACAACCCGACCAUGCUGACCCGCAUGAUCUCCACGAUGAGAGCUGGCUUUUCUUACCAGGAUCUUCCUUUCUUAACAUUUUAUGGGGAAGAGGAGAGGGGCUAAAUAUUUCCCAAGACCUAAAGGGCAGAAUUCAUUUAUCCAUUGACACAACUAGUAUCUGUCUAUAAACAGCACAUGCCAGGAUCCAGAAAGGGCCUUAAGACGCAGCCCCUACCCUAGGGGGGGCUCAGUCCGCUAAUGGACCGUCAUGUAAAUGAACGAGGUGGUGACCCCAUGACAGCUCAUGGCCUCACUCCGGUGCAGACAGGAUGCUGGGACCUAUUUUCCUUUGGUCCUCCCUUCCCACCUCUUCCCGUCCAAAGGACACCGUGUGCAGGGUGUGAGUGUGCAAAUCAGUCUCAGAGGAAGUAAAAGUGUGCAAGAGAAAGAGACCGAAAACUUGCCAAGAACCCUUUCCCUUUCAGAGCCUUCCCGGCCUGUAAAGAGGCUAGCAACUUGGAAGAGUGAGCAGGCCCGUCGCAACCACCCAGCCGUCACUAGAGGGGCGGCGUCAGGAGAGAGCCAAGCUGCCAUCCCAGGGUUAAAGAACAAUUCCGAUUCAGCUGUCAACUUCUCAAGACCCGACCAUCUGAGACAGGAUGGGCGUCCCACCCUUGCGGCUCCUUUCCGGAGGACUCAGAGUAUCUCCCGCUGCCCCUCCCCUCCCGGGCUCGCUUGCCAGCAAACCCUCUGCCACACACUCCCUCUAGUCAGGACCGGAAAGGGGGACUAAUGACCAGUUUCUCGCGCUCCUCUAUGGACUGCAGAUACUGCUGCUUGCCUUCCUGGGAUUCAUCCUUCUUCUUUAGAUAAGGCUCGAUGGAUUUGUACUGAGCAUAGAAAUUGCUCAAAUCCUGUGGGUGCGAGGAAAAGAAAUGAGUCAGAGUCCACCACCGCCCCUUAUCUUUCUUUCCUACCCCUGUUUCUUGGACACAGCCCACUUUUCUGCACAAGUCAGACCCUCUGCCUUUGGCACAGACACGUGCAAAGAUCACACAAGGAGAAACGGUCACAACGUCAGUGCGGUUAGAAAUCUCUCCUUCACCCACUUGGGAACCUUUCCAAUCCCACGGCCCUUUCUCCCCAGUUGCCCUGAAAACACGCAGUCAGGGAAGGGAAGGUGGCCAAGCGCAGGGAGGCGGAAAUUACAACCCACAACAACCGCUGCUUUCCCAACUGCCAUUUUCCACAAGAAUUCUUUAUACUUAGGACCAAAUCCUUCACUUCUGAAAGCAUUCCAAGUCUAGAAUUCUCGCCCUGUUAUUCCCAAGCAGUCCAUACUACAUGAGCUGCUGGAGGAUCUUCUAGGCCAUUUACCUUCUGCCAUUCAAAUUCCUUAAACUCAGACACGAAAAAAUCCUGCCCUGAAGAACUAUAGUACAGCACACACACAUAUACCCCCCCCCACGCACACACAGGGAAAAAAAAAAGUGAAGGAGGUGGAGAGAAGGAGAGACAAGCAGAAACUCACAGGAACAAGAUCCUUUAUCACAUACAUAUGUGGAAGAGGGUAGAUUUUUGAAACUUUGUUGAGGUUGGUGUCAAUUCUUCGGGUGCAAGCCAGAGUGUUGCCUCCAUUGAUGUUCAUGGCACAGGAGCCGCAGAUGCCUGAGAGGGAACAGAAGAGGUGCCCAGACACCGUCAGUCCAAGCAGCAAAUUCUCCCCGAGGGACUGCUGUUACUCUACCAUCAGGAGUGGUGCUGACAUGGAAUACACCUGUGCCAGAGCCUGGAUACAGAUUAUCCAGAGACAGCGCCCAUUCUGUUGUUUCCAGAGAGUGGAACAGCUUCCCAGGGGAGGAUAUGAGACCCACUUUUCUGGAAGAAUGAACUAAUGUGAAACCAAACCAAAGCAAGCAAAAAGAAGGUUCUGACUAAGGACCCUGAAGUGAGAAUUUUCUUAGCCUGGACAAUUUCCUGUGUAUGGAAUUUCCUAGUUAUUUUCAGAAUUAAAAGUGAC
Phacochoerus africanus (Common warthog) is the source of this 2125-nucleotide long non-coding RNA. RefSeq lists it as uncharacterized. The transcript has 3 exons. The record is from RefSeq and is a predicted model, not a curated record. Lineage: Eukaryota; Metazoa; Chordata; Mammalia; Artiodactyla; Suidae.